UCGAUUGUUUGAUCAUGGCUCAGGACGAACGCUGGCGGCGUGCUUAACACAUGCAAGUCGAACGGUGAUGGCCAGCUUGCUGGUCUGAUCAGUGGCGAACGGGUGAGUAACACGUGAGCAACCUGCCCUUCACUCUGGAAUAACCACGGGAAACGGUGGCUAAUACCGGAUAUGAGACGUACACGCAUGUGUCGCGUCUGGAAAGAUUUAUCGGUGAAGGAUGGGCUCGCGGCCUAUCAGCUUGUUGGUGGGGUAGUGGCCCACCAAGGCGACGACGGGUAGCCGGCCUGAGAGGGCGACCGGCCACACUGGGACUGAGAUACGGCCCAGACUCCUACGGGAGGCAGCAGUGGGGAAUAUUGCACAAUGGGCGCAAGCCUGAUGCAGCGACGCCGCGUGAGGGAUGACGGCCUUCGGGUUGUAAACCUCUUUCAGCAGGGAAGAAGCGAGAGUGACGGUACCUGCAGAAGAAGCGCCGGCUAACUACGUGCCAGCAGCCGCGGUAAUACGUAGGGCGCAAGCGUUGUCCGGAAUUAUUGGGCGUAAAGAGCUCGUAGGCGGUUUGUCGCGUCUGCUGUGAAAACCUAAGGCUCAACCUUGGGCUUGCAGUGGGUACGGGCAGACUAGAGUGCGGUAGGGGUGACUGGAAUUCCUGGUGUAGCGGUGGAAUGCGCAGAUAUCAGGAGGAACACCGAUGGCGAAGGCAGGUCACUGGGCCGCAACUGACGCUGAGGAGCGAAAGCAUGGGGAGCGAACAGGAUUAGAUACCCUGG
This 773-nucleotide ribosomal RNA is filed under the name uncultured bacterium. RNAcentral's name for it is "bacterial SSU rRNA". It matches the Rfam family "Bacterial small subunit ribosomal RNA", at positions 1 to 790 of the family's 1533-position model. The record is from RNAcentral.